This 482-nucleotide ribosomal RNA is filed under the name uncultured bacterium. RNAcentral's name for it is "bacterial SSU rRNA". It matches the Rfam family "Bacterial small subunit ribosomal RNA", at positions 46 to 525 of the family's 1533-position model. The record is from RNAcentral.
GCUUAACACAUGCAAGUCGAACGGUAACAUUUCUAGCUUGCUAGAAGAUGACGAGUGGCGGACGGGUGAGUAAUGCUUGGGAACUUGCCUUUGCGAGGGGGAUAACAGUUGGAAACGACUGCUAAUACCGCAUAAUGUCUUCGGACCAAACGGGGCUUCGGCUCCGGCGCAAAGAGAGGCCCAAGUGAGAUUAGCUAGUUGGUAAGGUAACGGCUUACCAAGGCGACGAUCUCUAGCUGUUCUGAGAGGAAGAUCAGCCACACUGGGACUGAGACACGGCCCAGACUCCUACGGGAGGCAGCAGUGGGGAAUAUUGCACAAUGGGGGAAACCCUGAUGCAGCCAUGCCGCGUGUGUGAAGAAGGCCUUCGGGUUGUAAAGCACUUUCAGUUGUGAGGAAAAGUUAGUAGCUAAUACCUGCUAGCCGUGACGUUAACAACAGAAGAAGCACCGGCUAACUCCGUGCCAGCAGCCGCGGUAAUA